ACGGAGGGUGCGAGCGUUAAUCGGAAUUACUGGGCGUAAAGCGCGCGUAGGCGGCUUGAUUAGUCGGAUGUGAAAGCCCCGGGCUUAACCUGGGAAUUGCAUUCGAUACUGUCUGGCUAGAGUAUGGGAGAGGGAAGUGGAAUUUCCGGUGUAGCGGUGAAAUGCGUAGAUAUCGGAAGGAACACCAGUUGCGAAGGCGGCUUCCUGGCCCAAUACUGACGCUGAGGUGCGAAAGCGUGGGGAGCGAACAGG
RNAcentral lists this ribosomal RNA (252 nucleotides) under uncultured bacterium. RNAcentral describes it as "partial 16S ribosomal RNA". It matches the Rfam family "Bacterial small subunit ribosomal RNA", at positions 525 to 776 of the family's 1533-position model. The record is from RNAcentral.